GACAAACGCUGGCGGCGUACUUAAGACAUGCAAGUCGAACGGGUGUCCUGCUUUCGGGUGGGAUGCUAGUGGCGGAUGGGUGAGUAACGCGUAGGAACCUGUCGUUAAGUGGGGGAUACCGCUGGGAAACCGGCGCUAAUACCGCAUGUGGUCGAGUGAUCGAAGAAAGCAGCACUGCGCUUGAUGAGGGGCCUGCGUCCGAUUAGCUAGUUGGUGGGGUAAAGGCCUACCAAGGCGCGAUCGGUAGCUGGUCUGAGAGGAUGGUCAG
RNAcentral lists this ribosomal RNA (268 nucleotides) under uncultured bacterium. Its description in RNAcentral is "partial 16S ribosomal RNA". It matches the Rfam family "Bacterial small subunit ribosomal RNA", at positions 28 to 307 of the family's 1533-position model. The record is from RNAcentral.